Molecule: RNA transcript, 2555 nt
Organism: Hyaena hyaena (striped hyena)
Lineage: Eukaryota; Metazoa; Chordata; Mammalia; Carnivora; Hyaenidae
Gene: SYT3
Gene name: synaptotagmin 3
Exons: 11
Source: RefSeq, a predicted model, not a curated record
AGAUCCGGCUCCUCCUCCCACCACCUGGCGCGUGGGGACGGGUCCGCAGCCCCUUGUCCGCCCUACAAGCCCCAUGGGCUGCCGCCAGCCGCCGCCUAGGCUGCCACCCAGAACACGGCAGGGAUAAGCGCAGAACCCACCGGCCACCAUGUCCGGAGACUACGAGGAUGACCUCUGCCGGCGGGCACUCAUCUUGGUCUCCGACCUCUGCGCGCGGGUCCGAGAUGCCGACACCAGUGACAGGUGCCAGGAGUUCAACGACCUGCGAAUCCGAGGCUACCCCCGGGGCCCGGAUGCAGACAUCUCCGUGAGCCUGCUGUCGGUCAUCGUGACGUUCUGUGGCAUUGUCCUUCUGGGCGUCUCCCUCUUCGUGUCCUGGAAAUUGUGCUGGGUGCCCUGGCGGGACAAGGGAGGCUCGGCGGUGGGCGGGGGCCCGCUGCGCAAAGACCUAGGCCCUGGGGUCGGGCUGGCAGGCCUGGUGGGUGGUGGUGGGCACCACCUGGGGGCCGGCCUGGGUGGCCAUCCUCUGCUGGGGGGUCCGCACCACCACGCCCACACCGCCCACCACCCGCCCUUCGCUGAGCUGCUGGAGCCAGGCAGCCUAGGGGGCUCGGACCCCCCUGAGCCCUCGUACUUGGACAUGGACUCGUAUCCAGAGGCUGCGGCAGCUGCAGUGGCUGCUGGGGUCAAACCGAGCCAGACAUCUCCUGAACUGCCCUCUGAGGGAGGUGCGGGCUCUGGGCUACUCCUGCUGCCCCCCAGUGGUGGGGGCUUGCCCAGUGCCCAGUCGCAUCAGCAGGUCACAAGCCUGGCACCCACCACCAGGUACCCGGCCCUGCCGCGGCCCCUCACCCAGCAGACCCUGACCCCCCAGCCGGACCCUGGCAGCGAGGAGCGGCCGCCUGCCCUGCCCUUACCCUUGCCGGGCGGUGAGGAAAAAGCCAAACUCAUCGGGCAGAUCAAGCCCGAGCUGUACCAGGGGACUGGGCCCGGUGGCCGGCGCGGCGGCGGGGCCCCGGGCUCGGGAGAGGCCGGCGCGGGGGCGCCCUGCGGCCGCAUCAGCUUCGCCCUGCGGUACCUCUAUGGCUCCGACCAGCUGGUGGUGCGGAUCCUGCAGGCCUUGGACCUCCCGGCCAAGGACUCCAACGGCUUCUCAGACCCCUACGUCAAGAUCUACCUGCUGCCGGACCGCAAGAAAAAGUUCCAGACCAAGGUGCACAGGAAAACUCUGAACCCUGUGUUCAACGAGACAUUCCAGUUCUCGGUGCCCCUGGCCGAGCUGGCCCAGCGCAAACUGCACUUCAGCGUCUAUGACUUCGACCGCUUCUCGCGGCACGACCUCAUCGGCCAAGUGGUGCUGGACAACCUCCUGGAGCUGGCUGAGCAGCCCCCCGACCGCCCACUGUGGAGGGACAUCGUGGAGGGAGGCUCGGAAAAGGCAGAUCUCGGGGAGCUCAACUUCUCACUCUGCUACCUCCCCACCGCCGGGCGCCUCACCGUGACCAUCAUCAAAGCCUCUAACCUCAAAGCGAUGGACCUCACCGGCUUCUCAGACCCCUACGUGAAGGCCUCUCUGAUCAGCGAGGGGCGGCGUCUGAAGAAGCGGAAAACCUCCAUCAAGAAGAACACGCUGAACCCCACGUACAACGAGGCGCUCGUGUUCGAUGUGGCGCCCGAGAGCGUGGAGAGCGUGGGGCUCAGCAUCGCGGUGGUAGACUACGAUUGCAUCGGGCACAACGAGGUGAUCGGCGUGUGCCGGGUGGGCCCGGACGCCGCCGACCCCCACGGCCGCGAGCACUGGGCGGAGAUGCUGGCCAACCCCCGCAAGCCGGUGGAACACUGGCAUCAGCUGGUGGAGGAAAAGACUUUGUCCAGCUUCACAAAAGGCAGCAAAGGAUUAUCAGAGAAAGAGAACUCAGAGUGAGGGGUCUGGCCUAGGCUCAGGAUCGGACCAGGCUCCGUAGGACCUCAUCCCUUCCUGCCCGGACAGUGAAUUCAUCUCGAAGCCAUAACGUCCGAGCCGCGUGGUGCGGGGCAGGCUGGGCCUGCCCUUCCUUCGACCCCGCUAGGACCCUUAUGAUUAUAAGACACAAAAUGCAACCCAAACCACCGUAAACCACAAGCAGAACUGAAAGACCUUUGUACAUGGUGAGUGUGAGCCAAAGGAGGACUUCAGGCAUGGUCGGAUCAAGGUGUUCAAGCGACUCUGCAUUGCUCCUUAUGACUUCAUUCUCAGGCAAGUCUCUGGGGCUCCAAGCUUAAAAUGCUGUGUCUGUUACGAUGGCGUCAGCUGCCUAAAACAGAAUUCCAACAGAAAGGGCUGAAAUGAGAAGAGAUUCCUUUUGCUCACAUAACAAAUCUUUCAAAGACACGCAGUCCCGCUGUUAGUUCAGCUGCUCAACAGCGUCGGGCACAGGGUUGGCGUCGCCGAGAUUCAUUCUGCCUUCCCUUCAUGAGUACAAAGUGCAACAGUACCAAGCAUUAUGUUCUCACACGGUGGCAUCUAAAGCAGAAAAUGUGGGGGCGCCUGGGUGGCUCAGUCUGUUAAGCAUCUG